GACUUGAGGUGUGCUGGACUUGUAUUAGUUCGGCUCCCUUUUUAAAUGCAUUAGCGGAGCCACUCGCUUCCGGCUAACAUCGACGUGAUAAUCAUCUUACGUCGUUGUCUACCGGUUCCAGAGUCUGCUUAUAAUAGUCUUCUGACAAUACAUAAUGACAAUUUGACCUCAAAUCAGGUAGGACUACCCGCUGAACUUAA
This 200-nucleotide unclassified non-coding RNA is filed under the name soil metagenome. RNAcentral describes it as "partial contains internal transcribed spacer 2 and large subunit ribosomal RNA". The record is from RNAcentral.